This 471-nucleotide ribosomal RNA is filed under the name uncultured bacterium. RNAcentral describes it as "bacterial SSU rRNA". It matches the Rfam family "Bacterial small subunit ribosomal RNA", at positions 30 to 492 of the family's 1533-position model. The record is from RNAcentral.
AUUGAACGCUGGCAGCAUGCCUUACACAUGCAAGUCGAACGGUAACGGGCCUUCGGGUGCCGACGAGUGGCGAACGGGUGAGUAAUGCAUCGGAACGUACCUUUCAGUGGGGGAUAACGUAGCGAAAGUUACGCUAAUACCGCAUAUUCUGUGAGCAGGAAAGCAGGGGAUCGCAAGACCUUGCGCUGAUUGAGCGGCCGAUGUCAGAUUAGCUAGUUGGUGAGGUAAAGGCUCACCAAGGCGACGAUCUGUAGCGGGUCUGAGAGGAUGAUCCGCCACACUGGAACUGAGACACGGUCCAGACUCCUACGGGAGGCAGCAGUGGGGAAUUUUGGACAAUGGGGGCAACCCUGAUCCAGCCAUGCCGCGUGAGUGAAGAAGGCCUGGUUGUAAAGACUCUUCGUCCGGGAACGAAAGUACGCAUGGGUUAAGUACCUACGUGCGGAGUGACGGUACCGGCGAUAAGAAGAC